Molecule: non-coding RNA, 129 nt
Organism: Beauveria asiatica
Lineage: Eukaryota; Fungi; Ascomycota; Sordariomycetes; Hypocreales; Cordycipitaceae
Source: the annotation of a GenBank genome assembly
GCUUUGGUGGCCAAGUGGUAAGGCGUCGCACUCGGUAGGUCCCGCCUGAACACACAGCUCCACAGCGACCAAUCUACUAACCAAUAAUCAGUAAUGCGAAGAUCGGGGGUUCGAUUCCCCUCCGAAGCA